This is an RNA transcript of Lolium perenne, 5101 nucleotides long. It is a transcript of the gene named disease resistance protein RPS2-like, with no coding region annotated. The record is from RefSeq and is a predicted model, not a curated record. Lineage: Eukaryota; Viridiplantae; Streptophyta; Magnoliopsida; Poales; Poaceae.
CGGCAGCGCCCUGGCUGAUCCAGUCCAACACCUGUGUCCACAAGACACGGGCGCGAACCUCCGUUGAUGGAUUGGCGCCAACGGCACGAACGCGAGGGAUGCUGUCGCGCCCUAGGCCGGCGGGCCGUCUUCGUCGCCGGCGAGCUUCCCGUAGGCACCAUUCUUUCCUGUCCUUCCCCCACUUGUACCGCAUACCGGCAUGGCAUGCUUCUUGGCCCGGCCAGGACGCGGCGGGCAACGUGGCGAGGCUGUCAGAGCGCAUCGCCUGGCGUGGCGUCCCAGCGGCAGCAUCCACGGUGUCACCGUCAUCGUCCCCGAGGAGAAGUCCGACGUCUUCGACUCCCUCAGAUCGAUUCUUCCUUCUUUCCACAUUACGGCAUUACACAGAGCAGUCGGUCACCUGUUCGAUAGAUUGCCCAUGUGCUGGAAGGGAGUAAGUACAUAUCGCAAUCUUGUGUUUAACUCCAAAUUUUGCCUGUUCUGGUUCAGUCGAUUAUUAGGCAGUGCCUCCUUGCAACACAAUAAACCUUGCAGUGAAUAUACGUGCAGUCCGAAGCUCUGGCCUCGCUCAUACUGUCUUCUUUAAUUUGACAAACUGCUUCACUGCACAAGGAUCUAGUGUGCGACUACCUGAUCCUGACAAAUACAAGAUUUCAGUUCCUCGCUUCAAAGCAGGUUUGCACACUUUUUGGUGAAAAGUUGGCCGCGUUCAAUACCGCAUUCAAGUUAUGUAUGUCUUUUCGCUGUAGUGCAGAUAUGCUAUUCUGGUAAGUUUGCUCCCCUCGUUCUUCUAGGGCCAUUAUUUGGUUGAGUUGUAGUAUAGUAGAUGGCAAGAAGGUAGUACUCAGGUGGACAUUACUUGUGUGAUAAGAUUUUGGGUUUCGUUUUGUGAUUACCAAAAUAUGAUAUUCAUCAAACAGAUGCACCUUUUCUGCUACAGCAACUAUAAUCAUCGUUUACCAACGAUCCUGAAAAUAAACAAGAGCAACAGAUAUUAGAACUGGCUGAAGGUACAGAUUAUAUUCUGCUGGUUCGUGGGCUGGGUGUCCAAAUUCAUUAUGAUUGGGCGUAGGUGUGUAAUGGUUCAACUUUAUAUGGGGUUUCACAGUACAAAAGGUUCCUACAUUCGUAGCUGCAGUAGUUAAAAUACAUGCAGUUCUAUGAAACUCAACGAAAUAGAUCUGUACUUUCAAAUUGAUGAAGUAUAUGUUAAACCAGUGGUUUUUGUAAGAACAACAAUUCUAUUCCGUCCCAAUGGAAUUCUGCCCAUCAAGGCUAUAAGAGAAUACUGAAUUUAUAUAAUUUAUAACCAUUGAGUUGUGGCUUACAUUAAUAAACUUAGCCACGCAAUUGCACAUGCUUAGCUUGCUGUACAAUGAGGUGGAGGUGCAGAUUUAGUAGUCAAUUAGUGGUCCAGCAACUGCACAUGUACUAGUAUUCUAUUUAUAAGGACAAGUUGGAAAUUUGAAAUAAUUAUUCACAGCGAGGUAAGAAUGUUUCCUUGUGCUGACUUGAACACCUACGGCACAAAUACUUUAGUCCCAAUGAGGUGGACACCACAGACUUUAGUUUGGAAUUUUCGCAUCUGUCUGUGAACUUCCACUCUACUUUUUGCAGCAAGACUUGUAGUUGUCAACUCUUCUCUGCCCUUCCAGUUCUAGGUAAAGAACAGCAGAAGGCUAUUAAACCUACGUCUGCUCCUGCCUCCUCCGAUCAGCUUCUACUGCAAGUCUCCUAGCUAUAUGGCUCCGUUUCCAUCUGGGAUAAUGUCCCCAGUUGUUGACCUCUUCGUACGCGAGUUAUGGAAGCCAAUUAAGAAGCACUUUGGUUACUGUCUCAAGCCUGAAAGCAAAGUUCGCAAACUAGCAAAAGCUGCUGAUGAUUUGAAGGAAAAUAUAGAUCUUGUGAAGGAGAAAAUUAAAUUGGGUGAACUCGAGGGCAAGAAACCGAGGGUGCAAGCAACAAGGUGGAUAGACGACAGUGCUAAGUUAGUUGAAGAUGAAUCAUACAGAAUCAAGAAUACGUACGAUGGAAGGAGCACACAUAUCUUUGGUUGCUCCUGGAAUUGUUUCUUCAACUACAGAAUUAGCAGUGCUGCCACCAAGAAGAAGGCUGAUGCUGACGAAUUCAAGGAGAGUACUCCCAAGAAUGAUAGUAUCUUCAGUUUGCUCCCACCAGUUGGCAGAGAGCUGCCUCUGCCACCUAACAUCAUGGGGCAAAACAGGUACAUGAAAGAGAUUGUUGCUUGCAUCAAACAAGGCACCACGAGCUUCAUUGGGAUAUGUGGCAUGGGAGGGGCUGGCAAGACUACUCUCCUUAAGCAAUUAAAUAACAUAUUCAGCUGUGCUGCAGAAACACAUGAAUUCGAUUACAUCAUUUAUGUGGAAGUCGGUCAGCAGCAAGAUCUUGAUACGGUUCGGCAAAAUGUUGCAUCCCAACUUGGCUUGGUGAUAGGAAAGGAUGAAAGCACAACAUUUAGAUCUUCAUCCCUUUAUAACUUCUUGAAAGAAAGGAAGUUUCUGUUGUUGAUAGAUGACCUUUGGCAAACAUUGGACCUAGUGCAGAUCGGCAUACCGCAAGGUGGCAGGCUGAUUGGCCCUCAAAAUAGGCAGAUGAUAGUAAUCACCACACGCUUACAGCAUCUAUGUCACAGAAUGCAAGUGCAUGGUCAGCUGAUUAUGUUACAAAGGCUGGAGUUUGAGGAAGCUUGGAAUCUCUUUGAUGCGAACGCAGGAUGCAAUAGAGUAACCAACAGCAGUGCACAAAUCAGAGUUUAUGCCAAGAGUAUUGUGAAUAUGUGUGGAGGCCUUCCGCUAGCUCUUAAGAUAGUUGGUCAGGCUAUGGCAUCAAAAGAAAGUGAACAUGAGUGGAAGCAUGCUAUGAUACUGCUUCGACGGUCUCAGUUCCACAAAGUUCCAGAUGCAGAAAGUAACCUAUUUUCUUUGCUGUAUAUUAGCUAUGAAAACCUGCCAGAUGAGAGGACAAAACACUGUUUUCUUUUCUUUGUCUUGGCUGGAUAUGAUCAUUAUAGUUACGUUCCGUAUGCAAUAAAUUUAUGGAUAGGACAUGGAUUUCUCGAUGAAGAUGAUGACAUCAGAAACAACUAUUUGAGAGGUCACUCCGUUGUUGGAUGUUUAAAAAGAGCCUGCCUGUUAGAAGAACAUCCUCGAGGGGAAAAUUAUGUGAGGAUGCACGAUAUAAUCCGAGGUCUAGCUCUUUGGAUUGUACAAAUGCAACAGGGUGAUAGACAUAACAAUAAGUGGCAAGUGCGCCUCUGUGGAGAACCUAUGGAACCAGAAGAGUGGAGCACUGCCCAGAGGAUUUCGCUCACGGGCAUGAAUCCUAUUAAUAUCCCCGAUUCUUGCAGUUGCAGUUGCCUAUUGACUCUCUCGGUUCCAAGAAGCAAGAUUAUUGGAAGUGUUCCUACUGGCUUUUUCAGAACUGCUCCGUCUCUCACCUACUUGGAUCUAAGCCAAACCAAUAUUCAAGAACUUCCAUCAGAUGUUGGAGCAUUAUUGAACUUGCAACACCUUGAUCUUUCACACACCCCAAUCCGAGCGAUCCGAAUGGAGCUUCAACUAUUGAAAAGUUUGAGGUACCUAUACUUAGGGCAUACGCGUCGGCUGAAAACUAUCCCAGAUGGGACCAUAUCUUCACUAAGUAAGUUGAGGGUACUCGAUUUAUACAACAGUGGUCUUUUCUCAGUGGACAGAACACAGGCAUACAUUGAGGAGCUGGAGAGUUUGGUAUGGUUACAAUCUCUUGGGUUCACGGUGGAUGAUUCUGAGUCGCUUCACAGGCUACUCAAUUUUUCUAAUAACUCCUUGAAAUUCCUUAAUGUACAAGGAGUUGAAGGCUUGCAAUUUCUCCAUAUUUCACCAUCGCUUAUUGGCAUAAUGAGGGCACAUCAACUUGAGAAGUUGAUGUUUCGUGGAAUGAAAAGCCUGGAGGAGUUGCUGAUUGGUGAAACCAUUGUGGCUUCAGAUUGGAACUUUCAAAGCCUUGACGAUCUUAUAUUGGUUCAUCUCCCAAAAUUGGAAAGCAUUGUAUGGAAAGGUGUGGUGCCUCAUGUUUGCCUUCCCACACUUCGUUUUCUAGUGAUGUAUGGCUGCCACAGCAUCAAGACACUUACGUGGAUCAAGGAGCUGCCCUGCCUAAAAGAGAUAUAUCUGAUUGACUGUGGUUCAAUGUUGGAGUUGGUGGCUGAUGAUGAAGAAGCAAACACGUCAACUGCCGCACAUUCAUUUCCUCGUCUCAAGUUACUUGGACUAAGCCAGCUUGGGAACCUGCAGAACAUAUGUGGUGGCACACUUUCUUUCCCGUGUUUUCAGCGGUUACUUGUGUACAAGUGUCCUAUGCUACUGAAAUUGCCAUCCAGAUUACUGACAGAAGAGCGUCUGUCACUGAUACUCGGAAGACAAGACUGGUGGGAACAACUAUGCUGGGAGGAUAGUAGCGUGGAAUCUACUCUCUUCCCAUUCUUCAGAGAAUUGCCUGCAAGUUUUCGAGGAAAUUUCGUAGAUGUUGGCAAUGCAUUAAUUAUGUAGGUAGAAGAAGGAACAAGACUGCUGAAACUGUAUGUCGCGAAAUAUAACAUUGUGAGAAGGUUCGUUGAGAAACUCGCAGAUGGCGGGGAGAUCCUGACCAAUUUCUGGGCUCUCUUCUAUCUUGCCGGCAUUCUGACUCGUUCCUAGAAGCGGACCGCAGGCAUUUCCUAAAGAGGAACUCAGUGUCUAAACUUGUAGGGUGAAAACCCAAGGUCUGGUCUUAAUUGGUUGUGCGUGGCAAUGAUCUUGUUAAAAGCAUUGUUUUGUGAGUGCGGAUUUUCUCCGGGUGAAAACCUAUGAUCGUUGAUCAGGGCGAUGGCGGCGCUUGUGCACUGUUCCCUUCUUGGAGACGUCGCUUUUCAAGAUGAUGGAUUUCUGGUGUUGUCUUGGUGGUGUUUGGUCGCAGCUUCUUUUUUUUGCAUGUGGGCAUCUGUAUUGCCAAUAGAGCAGGCUGGGUGUAAUUGAUAUCUUCACAAUAUUAAUAUAUUUUUCUUUAUCGAAAAAACCCUGUAUGAAUUCAGUUGUUUGCUCGUGAUUAACCACUUCAACCUGUU